GACCUCGGAUCAGGUAGGGAUACCCGCUGAACUUAAGCAUAUCAAUAAGCGGAGGAAAAGAAACCAACAGGGAUUGCCUCAGUAACGGCGAGUGAAGCGGCAAGAGCUCAAAUUUGAAAGCUGGCUCCUUCGGGGUCCGCAUUGUAAUUUGCAGAGGAUGCUUCGGGAGCGGCCCCCAUCUAAGUGCCCUGGAACGGGCCGUCAUAGAGGGUGAAAAUCCCGUCUGGGAUGGGGUGUCCGCGCCCGUGUGAAGCUCCUUCGACGAGUCGAGUUGUUUGGGAAUGCAGCUCUAAAUGGGUGGGUAAAUUUCAUCUAA
RNAcentral lists this ribosomal RNA (316 nucleotides) under Penicillium oxalicum. Its description in RNAcentral is "LSU rRNA". It matches the Rfam family "Eukaryotic large subunit ribosomal RNA", at positions 1 to 313 of the family's 3401-position model. Lineage: Eukaryota; Fungi; Ascomycota; Eurotiomycetes; Eurotiales; Aspergillaceae. The record is from RNAcentral.